Long non-coding RNA from Ceratitis capitata (Mediterranean fruit fly), 777 nucleotides. RefSeq lists it as uncharacterized. The transcript is spliced from 3 exons. Lineage: Eukaryota; Metazoa; Arthropoda; Insecta; Diptera; Tephritidae. The record is from RefSeq and is a predicted model, not a curated record.
UCAAACAAUUGGUAAAACUUGAAAGCAAUUUGAAGAGAAAGAAUCUGUUACAGUUAUUGUAAGACCUGCGCGUCAUUGUUUUGGUCGUUCCACCUCAAAUAUUGCUAAUGUGAGAGAAAUUGUAGUCGGAGACCCGAGUGUGACCAUUUCUCGGCGUUCUCAAAAGCACAUUACAGCAUUUUCAGGACUUGAAAUUACAUGUACGUCUCACACAACAACUGAGGCAAACUGAUCAUUCACAACGCCAUACAUACGACGAUCGGAUGCUUGAACAACAAGUAGUAGACGGCGAUUUUUCUCACUAAGGGGAUACGGAGUGUUGGACUUUGCUUCUUUGAAAACCACAAUGGCGAGACUGUCACUGUCGAUUUGGAGCGUUAUAGUCGUAUGAUAAUCAACAUUUUUGGCCGGCAUUUUAAGAAAACGCCAUUCGCAGACGAUGAGCUUGUGCGUUUUAAACACUAAAAAUUUCAUUUUGUUUUGAUAAAAUGAAAUAACAAAAUCAUUUCGAUCGAAGUUUGCAAGGAUCGCGAGGCGGUGAUUUGAAAGAUAUAGCCUUUUUACAGACAUAUAAUGCCAAGAUUCAAACUUUCUACUAAAAAAGGAACUCCUUGAAAAAAAUUAUUUUAAAUUCACUUGAAUUUACGUUUGUUUUCAAAGCCUCAAAGUGGAUAGAUCAUAAAUAUAGCUAAAUGAUCCAUAAGAAGUCUGAUGAAGAGAUAUGGUGAUAUCCGAAGCAGCUGUCACUUCUACCUUUUUCGUUUGGUGUAUAACAAA